GGUAACUGUAAGGGGCUGGAAGUGGGAAACUCCAGCUCAUAUCCCCGUUGGCCUCCUGAGCAGCUGGUUUAAGCUGUGUUUGAAAAACAAGCAUGUGUAGUCGAAGCUGAAUGGAGCUGAGCAGCUCUGCUCUGCAAACAGGAGAUUUCAGACUAACCUGUGUAGUAUUUUUGAUAGACGUGUACAUAAAGCUGGGGGCAGAUCAUGGCUACGGGGGAUGGAGCUUGGGGACUUGGUUCGAGCUUGAAGAGAGCAGGGGUGAGUUGAGCAGAUCAUUGGUACCUAAGGCAAUGGUUUUCAAAGGAAAUAGCAGGUGUUAGUGUUCAAAAUCCCCUGCAGCCGAGUUGAACAUCUGACAUCAUUAGGCUCUGUUUGUAAAUAUUUUCCUAUGUGGUGAAAAUACACAGUUACAAAGCUGGAUCUCAAAAUGCUGGGACAAUUGGGUGGCAAAAAAAAUAAAUAAAUAACUAUUACCAAGUGCACCUGUAUUGUCACUUUCAGCCAAAACAGCUGAACCUCAGGUGGGUCAGGAGUGAGCCCGGAGUUCCCAUCCACUGGGUGCUGGAGCAGAGGGAGAGGCGCCCACCAAAUCCAGUCCGCAUGUGGCCCAAGCGCAUCCUGACCAAACGCUGCCUGGAAGCAGGCAGGGCUCGCUGCGAAAUGACUCCAGUGAUGGCUGCAGGGGAGCUGGGAUGAAACUUGGUGCAGUUUUCGGAAGAAUGAUUGCCGCCAAUAACACCAUAGGCAAGAUUUCAGAACAAAGGCUUUUUCUCAUGAGUUAGCAAAAGCAAUGCUAGCUAUUCGCGAUUUAUGCCUCCCUUAUAAAUUACAUUUUAAGACUAGGAUUCUGUGUCAUCAGAAAAGAUGCAUUUUAUUUUUAUAUAGCGUCUUUAACACACACUUAAGGAGAAUGAUAGCAGUGUCAGGGGCUCAGGGUGAUUUUUUUUGUCUUUUUUCUUUUUUUUUUUUUUUCACAGAAGGGUUUCAGCCUGUGAAGUUGGAAGCAGGGAGCUAUGGAGGAGCUGCGCAUGACAGAUUUAGGGGACGGGGCAGAGAUCAGAGCGACGGGCACAGUACAAAGAGAUUGAGGAAGAAAAAGAGCAUUUUCAAGGAGGAGUGAAUGAAACAAAGAAGACCGCGGCCCUUCCCUGCAGCAGGCCUCUGAUGCCGCGUCGGAGCGACCAUGAGGGCCAUCGGCUCGGCGUGGUGCCAGGCCCGGGCUCUGCACCACUCUGCUGUGUCGUGGCAGAGACCUGGAGGAUCGGAGGAGGCCAGAUCAUCUCCACCAGCCUCCAUUUGUGGGGGAGCUGCUCAAGAGCCCUGCUCGGCCUGGCCAGUGCUGAGGAUGGCCAAAGCCACCACAUGGAGAGUGAUGCUGGGCUGGGGACACUGCCUUUGAUCUGCUGGAGCCAGGAAUGAGAGGUGCCUGACCUGACACAGCCCCCUGCCAUCUCCUGCUUGUUGUUCUCCCAAAAGCACAUCACCCCGGGAAAAAUCCAAGGCCUUGUUUCUGAGACCCAGGCUCUUUUCAUGUGCAGCACCAACUGCACCUACUCAGCCCACACGUGUUGCUCACCUGAGGCCCUCUUGCCACUGCCAUGAGUUUUGGGGCACAGGGGAGCUGGACAGGUCUCCUAGAAAACCAUGUUUUAGCUCAGCUUUCAGGGCUGCAGUUGUCCUCUUGUCCCGUGUCUGCUCAGCACCCGUCAAAGUAAGAUCCCUGGCUGUGACAGCCCAGCUCCUGUGGGCAUUACUCCAAACUUACCAGUAACAAGAAUAGUUUAAAAUAUUCUGAAAAAAAAUCUGCUCUCAGCUAUUUAGUAAUUAGCCAUUAAUAAAUCACAACACUCAGGAGGAACUUCA
Molecule: long non-coding RNA, 1863 nt
Filed under: Anas platyrhynchos platyrhynchos (common mallard)
Lineage: Eukaryota; Metazoa; Chordata; Aves; Anseriformes; Anatidae
Description: lncRNA (ENSAPLG00000030090.1)
Source: RNAcentral